RNAcentral lists this transfer RNA (74 nucleotides) under Paramuricea clavata. Its description in RNAcentral is "tRNA-Ser". It matches the Rfam family "tRNA". Rfam says of the family: Transfer RNA (tRNA) molecules are approximately 80 nucleotides in length. Lineage: Eukaryota; Metazoa; Cnidaria; Anthozoa; Malacalcyonacea; Plexauridae. The record is from RNAcentral.
GCCUCUGUAGCUCAGUUGGUUCGAGCACUGCACCGGAAUUACAGAGCCGCAGGUUGGAUUCCUGCCAGAGGGCA